RNA transcript from Octopus sinensis (East Asian common octopus), 585 nucleotides. RefSeq lists it as uncharacterized. NCBI's taxonomy places the organism in Eukaryota, Metazoa, Mollusca, Cephalopoda, Octopoda, Octopodidae. The transcript has 2 exons. The record is from RefSeq and is a predicted model, not a curated record.
UUUUAUACAUAUAUAUAUAUAUUUUGGUUUGGGUUCCAUUUUAGAAGGGACUAGUUAUUUAACGCCCUCUGAAGUCGAAUUUUUCAUCGGUCUAUUUUCGUGUGACGGCAUUUCACUACCAACGCAGUAAAUAGCUUUAUGUAACAACAUUGUCGCUGUUGUGUUUCGCGCGGUUUUGUCGUGUACAAUGGGUAAACGUAGCUGCCCGUUUUUUGAACCCCCCAUCCAAAAGAAAAUACAUGUUGGUGUGAAAGAAGUCGAUAAUGGUGUUUCUGGGAACAUGGAAGGAGUUUAUGAAAGAACAAAAAUGCUUCUCUUUGCUGGAGCCUUAUUGAGCAAUCAAGACAAGAACAGCAACUUGGUAAAAUCUGCUCCCAGUGCAAGUGAAAAUGACACACCGGAUUCUGAAGAAGAUACAUGUCAACCGAAAAUUCUACGAGGGCAAUGUCAAAUCGAUUUCUCAGGGAAACUGAUUCCUUACAGAAAAGCAAAUUGGAGUCAGAGUGUUUCUCAGUAGCAUAAAACAUGCAUAAUUUAACUGUAAUCUGUGUAAAAAAAAAAAAUUUUUUUUUAAAUUUUAAAUAC